AUACGGAGGGAGCAAGCGUUGUUCGGAAUCACUGGGCGUAAAGCGCGCGUAGGCGGCCGAGUAAGUCGUGUGUGAAAGACCGGGGCUCAACUCCGUGUAUUGCAUGCGAUACUGCUCGGCUAGAGAAAGGUAGAGGCAAGUGGAAUUCCCGGUGUAGCGGUGGAAUGCGUAGAUAUCGGGAAGAACACCUGUGGCGAAGGCGGCUUGCUGGGCCUUUUCUGACGCUGAAGUGCGAAAGCGUGGGGAGCAAACAGGAUUAGAUACCCCGGUAGUCC
This 275-nucleotide ribosomal RNA is filed under the name uncultured bacterium. RNAcentral describes it as "partial 16S ribosomal RNA". It matches the Rfam family "Bacterial small subunit ribosomal RNA", at positions 523 to 796 of the family's 1533-position model. The record is from RNAcentral.